CCUACGGGUGGCUGCAGUGGGGAAUAUUGGACAAUGGGCGAAAGCCUGAUCCAGCCAUGCCGCGUGUGUGAAGAAGGCCUUCGGGUUGUAAAGCACUUUCAGUGGGGAAGAAAGCCUUGGGGCUAAUACCCUCGAGGAAGGACAUCACCCACAGAAGAAGCACCGGCUAACUCCGUGCCAGCAGCCGCGGUAAUACGGAGGGUGCGAGCGUUAAUCGGAAUUACUGGGCGUAAAGCGCGCGUAGGCGGUCUGAUAAGCCGGUUGUGAAAGCCCCGGGCUCAACCUGGGAAUGGCAUCCGGAACUGUCAGGCUAGAGUGCAGGAGAGGAAGGUAGAAUUCCCGGUGUAGCGGUGAAAUGCGUAGAGAUCGGGAGGAAUACCAGUGGCGAAGGCGGCCUUCUGGACUGACACUGACGCUGAGGUGCGAAAGCGUGGGUAGCAAACAGGAUUAGAUACCCGUGUAGUC
This 465-nucleotide ribosomal RNA is filed under the name Vreelandella stevensii. Its description in RNAcentral is "partial 16S ribosomal RNA". It matches the Rfam family "Bacterial small subunit ribosomal RNA", at positions 338 to 795 of the family's 1533-position model. Lineage: Bacteria; Pseudomonadati; Pseudomonadota; Gammaproteobacteria; Oceanospirillales; Halomonadaceae. The record is from RNAcentral.